Molecule: ribosomal RNA, 941 nt
Filed under: Arthrobacter sp.
Lineage: Bacteria; Bacillati; Actinomycetota; Actinomycetes; Micrococcales; Micrococcaceae
Description: bacterial SSU rRNA
Rfam family: Bacterial small subunit ribosomal RNA
Source: RNAcentral
UUAUUGGGCGUAAGAGCUCGUAGGCGGUUUGUCGCGUCUGCUGUGAAAGCCCGGGGCUCAACCCCGGGUCUGCAGUGGGUACGGGCAGACUAGAGUGCAGUAGGGGAGACUGGAAUUCCUGGUGUAGCGGUGAAAUGCGCAGAUAUCAGGAGGAACACCGAUGGCGAAGGCAGGUCUCUGGGCUGUAACUGACGCUGAGGAGCGAAAGCAUGGGGAGCGAACAGGAUUAGAUACCCUGGUAGUCCAUGCCGUAAACGUUGGGCACUAGGUGUGGGGGACAUUCCACGUUUUCCGCGCCGUAGCUAACGCAUUAAGUGCCCCGCCUGGGGAGUACGGCCGCAAGGCUAAAACUCAAAGGAAUUGACGGGGGCCCGCACAAGCGGCGGAGCAUGCGGAUUAAUUCGAUGCAACGCGAAGAACCUUACCAAGGCUUGACAUGAACCGGUAAGACCUGGAAACAGGUCCCCCACUUGUGGCCGGUUUACAGGUGGUGCAUGGUUGUCGUCAGCUCGUGUCGUGAGAUGUUGGGUUAAGUCCCGCAACGAGCGCAACCCUCGUUCUAUGUUGCCAGCGGGUUAUGCCGGGGACUCAUAGGAGACUGCCGGGGUCAACUCGGAGGAAGGUGGGGACGACGUCAAAUCAUCAUGCCCCUUAUGUCUUGGGCUUCACGCAUGCUACAAUGGCCGGUACAAAGGGUUGCGAUACUGUGAGGUGGAGCUAAUCCCAAAAAGCCGGUCUCAGUUCGGAUUGAGGUCUGCAACUCGACCUCAUGAAGUUGGAGUCGCUAGUAAUCGCAGAUCAGCAACGCUGCGGUGAAUACGUUCCCGGGCCUUGUACACACCGCCCGUCAAGUCACGAAAGUUGGUAACACCCGAAGCCGGUGGCCUAACCCCUUGUGGGAGGGAGCCGUCGAAGUGGGACCGGCGAUUGGGACGAAGUCG